RNAcentral lists this ribosomal RNA (500 nucleotides) under uncultured bacterium. Its description in RNAcentral is "partial 16S ribosomal RNA". It matches the Rfam family "Bacterial small subunit ribosomal RNA", at positions 30 to 523 of the family's 1533-position model. The record is from RNAcentral.
AUUGAACGCUGGCGGAAUGCUUUACACAUGCAAGUCGAACGGCAGCACGGACUACGGUCUGGUGGCGAGUGGCGAACGGGUGAGUAAUAUAUCGGAACGUGCCCAGUCGUGGGGGAUAACGUAGUGAAAAUUACGCUAAUACCGCAUACGAUCUAUGGAUGAAAGCGGGGGACCUUUGGGCCUCGCGCGAUUGGAGCGGCCGAUAUCAGAUUAGGUAGUUGGUGGGGUAAAGGCUCACCAAGCCAACGAUCCGUAGCUGGUCUGAGAGGACGACCAGCCACACUGGGACUGAGACACGGCCCAGACUCCUACGGGAGGCAGCAGUGGGGAAUUUUGGACAAUGGACGCAAGUCUGAUCCAGCCAUUCCGCGUGCAGGACGAAGGCCUUCGGGUUGUAAACUGCUUUUGUACAGAACGAAAAGGUUUCUACUAAUACUAGGAGCUCAUGACGGUACUGUAAGAAUAAGCACCGGCUAACUACGUGCCAGCCGCCGCAGUAA